Molecule: long non-coding RNA, 862 nt
Filed under: Linum usitatissimum (flax)
Lineage: Eukaryota; Viridiplantae; Streptophyta; Magnoliopsida; Malpighiales; Linaceae
Description: long non-coding RNA (LUSI_LNC005205)
Source: RNAcentral
CCCACAUUCUGCACCACACAUCCAAAUUAUGAGUAUAUAUUAAGAUAUUCAGUAAAAGGAUGGUGCUUAGUGACUAACGGGAAGUCCAACAGCAACGCUCAGCAAUGCAAUUUUGUUCAUCCUGCUACGUAGGUUGACCUUGCCUCUGUAAGUAAACUUUCUGUCCUCCCUUGUUCCAAAUGCAGAACCUAGAACAGAGGAAUGUCAGUUGGAAAUUUCUCAUUGGCUGAUAAAAGGAAUAUCGAAGAUAACCAUGUCUUUAACCUGAGAGCUCUCCAUUGAUAAAGACAUGCACGGCAUGGCCACUUGAUUGAACAAUUAGAGUAGGCAUUUCUCCUCCGCGCAGGAAAGAUUCGGAUGCAUCAAUGUCGACACUAAGGAAUAUUUGAAACAUGUGAACAAUUUGAAUGGUUUUUGAAUGAUAAGUUCCUAAAAUGGCUCGUGUCAAACUCACCUAGUUAUGUACCACAGGUAGUCACUGAUAUCUCUUGUUACAUUUAUCUGCUCCAGGAGACCAGAAGUUGCUAGUGUCGAGCCGUCACUUACAGAGGAAACAUCCUCAUCGUAACUUUCCCAGGACGGAAUUUCAGUGUUUGUUGGCAGCAUUUCCAUUUGAGAUGUUUGGACCCCAACCUGGAAACAAGAUCACAAGUUAGCAUUUUGUGUUACUCUGGAUUCCAUUAGGUCCUUACUGAGUUUUCAUACCUUUGCAGUGUUAAACACAACGUUUCUGCAAUCCGGAAGAAUGCUAAUGGACCAAGGAGGCAAGUUGAAAUGCACGUUGUUGAACAUCACUUUCGUAGCAGAUUUCGUGUCGUAGUUGGCAAGAAAAGCUGCACAAUCUCCUCCUGGUUUCGUAGAG